This 29-nucleotide small RNA is filed under the name Bombyx mori (domestic silkworm). RNAcentral's name for it is "ovarian small RNA-14678". Lineage: Eukaryota; Metazoa; Arthropoda; Insecta; Lepidoptera; Bombycidae. The record is from RNAcentral.
CUCCUAAGAAACCUAAUGCCAUGACACUC